This is a long non-coding RNA of Cornus florida, 3370 nucleotides long. RefSeq lists it as uncharacterized. NCBI's taxonomy places the organism in Eukaryota, Viridiplantae, Streptophyta, Magnoliopsida, Cornales, Cornaceae. The record is from RefSeq and is a predicted model, not a curated record. The transcript has 3 exons.
CAGCCCAGUACCACCAUCAGUUACCAGAGUAAUACUAUUUGGUCCAAACUUGAACUCCAAAGCCCAACCCAGUAUACUCUCUCUCUCUCUCUCCCUCUCUCUCUCUCCUCUCCCUCUCUCUCUCUCCGGUUUCCAACCGUUCUCCCUCACCAUCGAAGGCAUAGAUUGACACGGCAGAAAGGUCAGGGCGUAGAUUUCGAUUAUAUUGUUGAUUUUGUUUGUUUGGUUGAAGUUUUUAUUUAUUUAUUUAUUUAUUUUGGCUGAUAAUUCACAUUGAGAGCUUCAAUUUUGAGAGUUACAUAUGCUUCCACAUGUUUGUGCUCGAUUUCCAUGUUUCUCCAGAGCUUUCAAGUUUUUAUUUUUAUUUUUAUGUGGGUUUCAUUUAUUCAUUUAAUUUACUCCUUUACUGGCUCAUUUUUUGUUCUCCAUCGUCUGAUUGUUUUAGACAAAUUUUAGUUUUGUUCAUAAUGAUUUGGGAACGUGGUUUUACUCCAAAAAUUGAAUGUGUCUCAUUUUUUUUUGAACUCGACUCUGUUCCCUUGAAGUUGAAGACCAACCUUUGCAAAUGUGUUUGCUUUUAUCUUUUUGAUACACCCUUUAUUAAUUCAACGGGUCUCUGAUGUCAACAAAAGACGUUUGUGUGAUUCUCCUCGGUGCAUUUCUGGGUUAUACAAUUGUCUUUAUGUUUAGAGCUUUCUAUCUAAUUGGAGAUUUUGACUUUACACCACGUCUUUAUAAUUUGGUUGAUUAUUGAGUAUUUAUGUUUAUAAUCAAAUGAAUGUUUGUCCUUGAAAAGAUAUUCGUAAUUUGAUUUUCGAAUGGGCUUGAGAAAUACACCUUCGGGGUUUGUAUUAUUGAGUUAAUUUAUGAUUUUUGCUUUCAGAUUUGAUUGCUUUUAUCUAUAUCAAUUUAAUAAUCUUUGUGGAUAGUAUAUAAGGCUAGCAUGGCAGCCACAACUCCUACAAGAUGAUCACUUAAAGGAGACCAUUCCGAAUAUCUGUGCUUGUGUGCUGUUUUUCCUAUAUUUUCACCUUUUUAAGCAUGCUGGUCUUUUGCUCCUGAGGUACGAUUUUUCCCUUGAUUGUGAAGCUAUACAACCAAAAUGAACUAUUUUGAUGUACUAAGGUGGUUUAAACUUUACAUGGCAUUUUAUUGCCAUUUUUGCAUGAAUAGCAAGAUACUAAUCUUGUUUUGAUGUGUCAUGUUACCAUGCUACUUUUGAUGUUCCUUUUUUUAUGUUGACCUGAAAUUUUCAAUUGGCACAUCAAAAAUUAAAAUUACAGCUUAAAGUGCUGGAUUGCUUCAUAUAGCCAAGUUCUUCUUGGAUUCAAUGAGGCCUCUCUAAUCUACUAUAUCCUCUUCAGAGUACUUUGGAUUCCUUAUCUUUAAAUAAAGUUCUGACUACAUUUCAUUUUAAUGCAUCUUUUAUGGGUGUGCACUUCAGCUGGCCUGUUGUUGCUCUAGCAUAGCAGUGCUAAGUCUACGGCAUCACUCAGAAACUUAUGACACAUUCAAGGGACAUAUAUUGUACUUGCUCGUUUACAAUGUUGUUUUUGAAUUAUAGACAUGUUAAAGGUUCUCAUUGUGCUCAUGGGUGUAUGUGGUCUGUUUAUGUAUGUACAGGCAUUACGUGUAUUGUGUGUUUACAGUGUUUUAGCCUUCAAUUUAUGAUAGGACGACUCACUAAACAAGAAUUGAACUCAUUUCAUAUGGGAUGCUUAGAUCCCUGUACUGAUGUAUCUGAGAAGAGGAUUGUUGGUGUCUUUCAUGAGCUUCUCCACAUCCCCAUACAAAAGAAACUGAGCACAAGAAUGUGAGCAAUCUCCGAAAACCGCUGGCUUUGCCACAGACGUUCAUGAAGGUGUUUGAACGCCAUCCUGACAUGUUAUACAUUUCUAAGAAGCGUUACACCCAAACUGUCAUAAAGUAAACCAGAAAUACCCCCUUGUUGACAACAGGGAAAAGUUUGCAAGUAUGAUGAAGGAAGGGUUGCUGGAUAGGAGCAGGGGCUUAUGCAAGAGAAACAGAGAUUCUGUUGUUGAGGAGGAUUGAUUAAGGAUGUUUGUAGUAAUGAACUCAGUGACAAUGGGUUCAAAAAUGGAGAAUCAGAUGAUUCAGAUUGUAAUCUGCUUUCAGAAUAUGAAUCAGAUUAUUCAGAUUGCUAAAUUCGGCUGAUACUGUUAGCAGUUAGCCUUCAUGGAAAGUUUUGAAACCACAUUGUGCAUCAGCAGCAUUCACAAUAUUUGGAGUACAAUAGCAUUCAUUCAAUUUGAUGCUGCACCUCAUUUGCUAUUACAAUAUUUGGAGUACAAUAGCAAUUAUGCAUUUUGAGUUCAUUUGAAAUGAUUCCUACUCUGCACACCAAGUUUGAGCAUCCAUUUCGUACAAUCUUCUACUCAAAUUAAACUUUCAGUGAGAUAUCUAAAUGAUAUGUGGAAGAUUAGCUGCUGGUGGUAAAAGCUAAGGAUUACCUACUACAUAAAUGUGAAAGGUGAUCCAAGAACUCAAAUCUUCGUUGCAACGUCAAACAACUAAUGGAAAAGGAAAAAUUCUAGUUACUUGAGAAGAAGAAAAAAAUCCAGAUUGUGACAAUUUCUGGAUAACAGGUCUCUGCUAAACCUUGGCACCAAUGUUCAUCCUUCCUAAGUGCAUGGUCACGGUGGAUGAUUCUGUUUUAAAAACACCAUCAAUCGCGUCUCACCUAUUGAACAGGGGCUGGCUUUGCCAAGGGAUAAUAGGGCCAUACGGGAGAGGUUGGAUGCUAACAUUGUCUACUAUAUGUUCCAAUCAUUCUCUCGCUAUUUGGCUAUUAUCCACUUAGCUUGACAGUUCUGUAAUGUUGGCAUAGAGACAUGAUCAUUUGGAGAGGGACGAGUUUGCUGAACUAUAUAAUUCAGGAAUUCAUGGCUGAGAAGAAGUAAAAUGGUGCUGAGAAGACAAAGUCCGAUCAGUUGCCAUUGGCAUGGAUGACUGCUAUAGUGAAGGUGCAAGCAGGUUUAUUCUGUCGGAUUCAGCGUUCCAGUAAACCAGGUCUGGAUCCCCUCAACCCCUCUUCCUGCAGAGGGCCAACAGAUCGAAGAUGAGGCUGGCAAAGUGCAACUUUGUAUGGAUUCGUCCUGUUACUGUUCAAAGUGAGGCUGCUACUGAAUCAAUCAGAUGAACAUUCUAAGGCACCUUGGUGUUUUUGUAAUUUUGCUUUUAAAGAUGAUUAAUUGUCCCAAAUUGAACACAUAUUGUAAAUAUUUCCUUUGCUUCAACAUUCAUGGUAUAAAAUGGUGUGUUUAGACCUUUUGUACUUGUAAUCACUGGAAAUAAGGACUUCUGUACCAAGAGGGCAGGUAUAUAUAUUUAUGAUCCGAGGUUGUUAGCA